RNAcentral lists this transfer RNA (56 nucleotides) under Aelurostrongylus abstrusus (cat lungworm). RNAcentral's name for it is "tRNA-Ile". Lineage: Eukaryota; Metazoa; Nematoda; Chromadorea; Rhabditida; Metastrongylidae. The record is from RNAcentral.
GUAAAAUUAAUUAUGUUAUCUUGAUGGGGUAGAGUUUUUAAGGUGAAUAAAAAUGU